UGCAUUUCCAACUGAGGUACCCUGCUCAUCUCAUUGGGACUGGUUAGACAAUGGGUGCAGCCCACAGAGGGGGAGCAGAAGCAGGAUGGGGCGUCACCUCAUCCAGGAAGUGCAAGGGGUUGGGGAACUCCCUCCCCUAACCAAGAGAAGCCAUGAAGGACUGUGCCUUGAUGAACAGUGCAUUCUGGCCCAGAUGCUAUGCUUUUCUUACAGUCUUGGCAACCCACACACCAGGAAAUUCCUUCGGAUUCUUUUUUGUCUCCUUCUCUGCAAGAGGCUGGCACCAGAUCACCUCCUGAGUAGAGCAGACAUUCCAAAGGAUGUCCUGCCAACAAUAAUGGAAAGCUGGAUACAACUGAAUAUGUAAAAUGG
RNAcentral lists this long non-coding RNA (372 nucleotides) under Homo sapiens (human). RNAcentral describes it as "HSALNT0329416". Lineage: Eukaryota; Metazoa; Chordata; Mammalia; Primates; Hominidae. The record is from RNAcentral.